Molecule: long non-coding RNA, 253 nt
Organism: Juglans regia (Persian walnut)
Lineage: Eukaryota; Viridiplantae; Streptophyta; Magnoliopsida; Fagales; Juglandaceae
Exons: 2
Source: RefSeq, a predicted model, not a curated record
UAAGGACUGUCUCAAGGAAGCAAGUAAAGUUACUCAGAGAGGUGGUCCAUGAUUAUGCUGAGAUGAAUGCAAGACCAGUUCAACCACUCAACCGUCGUGAGGUCCACUUAUAUUGUCAAACGUUAAGAAGAACAAAAAACUAAGUACUACAAGAUCAGAGAGUAUUCGGAAGAUGAUUUACAAUGUUGAAGCUAGUUAAGUGUAGUACAAUGCAUCUAUAUGCAUUUUAUAAAUAAAAAUACCAUCAGCUUUA